Molecule: long non-coding RNA, 200 nt
Organism: Felis catus (domestic cat)
Lineage: Eukaryota; Metazoa; Chordata; Mammalia; Carnivora; Felidae
Exons: 2
Source: RefSeq, a predicted model, not a curated record
AGCCGAAAGCCCCCGGGAUUGCAGUAGUUCCUCCCUGUACACAUCUGAGCGGAGAAAACAAAGUGUGGAUUACUACACUUGCUAAUUACUACUAACAAAUAAAGUAGGUUGAAAACAGAAUGGAGUGAGAAGACACAAUCUCUCCCCCAAGGAGCUUCUGGCCUGGUGGGAUGGAUAUACAGACAAAUAGGUAGUUACAA